GGACGAACGCUGGCGGCGUGCCUAAUACAUGCAAGUCGAGCGAACGGACGAGAAGCUUGCUUCUCUGAUGUUAGCGGCGGACGGGUGAGUAACACGUGGAUAACCUACCUAUAAGACUGGGAUAACUUCGGGAAACCGGAGCUAAUACCGGAUAAUAUUUUGAACCGCAUGGUUCAAAAGUGAAAGACGGUCUUGCUGUCACUUAUAGAUGGAUCCGCGCUGCAUUAGCUAGUUGGUAAGGUAACGGCUUACCAAGGCAACGAUGCAUAGCCGACCUGAGAGGGUGAUCGGCCACACUGGAACUGAGACACGGUCCAGACUCCUACGGGAGGCAGCAGUAGGGAAUCUUCCGCAAUGGGCGAAAGCCUGACGGAGCAACGCCGCGUGAGUGAUGAAGGUCUUCGGAUCGUAAAACUCUGUUAUUAGGGAAGAACAUAUGUGUAAGUAACUGUGCACAUCUUGACGGUACCUAAUCAGAAAGCCACGGCUAACUACGUGCCAGCAGCCGCGGUAAUACGUAGGUGGCAAGCGUUAUCCGGAAUUAUUGGGCGUAAAGCGCGCGUAGGCGGUUUUUUAAGUCUGAUGUGAAAGCCCACGGCUCAACCGUGGAGGGUCAUUGGAAACUGGAAAACUUGAGUGCAGAAGAGGAAAGUGGAAUUCCAUGUGUAGCGGUGAAAUGCGCAGAGAUAUGGAGGAACACCAGUGGCGAAGGCGACUUUCUGGUCUGUAACUGACGCUGAUGUGCGAAAGCGUGGGGAUCAAACAGGAUUAGAUACCCUGGUAGUCCACGCCGUAAACGAUGAGUGCUAAGUGUUAGGGGGUUUCCGCCCCUUAGUGCUGCAGCUAACGCAUUAAGCACUCCGCCUGGGGAGUACGACCGCAAGGUUGAAACUCAAAGGAAUUGACGGGGACCCGCACAAGCGGUGGAGCAUGUGGUUUAAUUCGAAGCAACGCGAAGAACCUUACCAAAUCUUGACAUCCUUUGACAACUCUAGAGAUAGAGCUUUCCCCUUCGGGGGACAAAGUGACAGGUGGUGCAUGGUUGUCGUCAGCUCGUGUCGUGAGAUGUUGGGUUAAGUCCCGCAACGAGCGCAACCCUUAAGCUUAGUUGCCAUCAUUAAGUUGGGCACUCUAAGUUGACUGCCGGUGACAAACCGGAGGAAGGUGGGGAUGACGUCAAAUCAUCAUGCCCCUUAUGAUUUGGGCUACACACGUGCUACAAUGGACAAUACAAAGGGCAGCGAAACCGCGAGGUCAAGCAAAUCCCAUAAAGUUGUUCUCAGUUCGGAUUGUAGUCUGCAACUCGACUACAUGAAGCUGGAAUCGCUAGUAAUCGUAGAUCAGCAUGCUACGGUGAAUACGUUCCC
RNAcentral lists this ribosomal RNA (1367 nucleotides) under Staphylococcus aureus. RNAcentral's name for it is "bacterial SSU rRNA". It matches the Rfam family "Bacterial small subunit ribosomal RNA", at positions 27 to 1375 of the family's 1533-position model. Lineage: Bacteria; Bacillati; Bacillota; Bacilli; Caryophanales; Staphylococcaceae. The record is from RNAcentral.